Molecule: ribosomal RNA, 419 nt
Filed under: bacterium
Lineage: Bacteria
Description: partial 16S ribosomal RNA
Rfam family: Bacterial small subunit ribosomal RNA
Source: RNAcentral
UGGGGGAUAUUGCACAAUGGGCGAAAGCCUGAUGCAGCGACGCCGCGUGGGGGAUGAAGGCCUUCGGGUUGUAAACUUCUUUUGCUCUGAACAAGGCAUGCUAAUGGGUGUGUUGAGUGUAGGGGUUGAUUAGCGCCGGCUAACUACGUGCCAGCAGCCGCGGUAAUACGUAUGGCGCGAGCGUUGUCCGGAAUUAUUGGGCGUAAAGGGCUUGUAGGUGGCUGGUUGCGUCUGUCGUGAAAGCUCAUGGCUUAACUGUGGGUUUGCGGUGGAAACGGAGUGGCUUGAGUGCAGGAGGGGAGGCUGGAAUUCCUGGUGUAGCGGUGGAAUGCGCAGAUAUAGGGAGGAAUACCGGUGGCGAAGGCGGGUCUCUGGGCAGUUACUGACACUGAGGAGCGAAAGCAUGGGGAGCGAACAGG